RNAcentral lists this non-coding RNA (172 nucleotides) under bovine gut metagenome. The record is from RNAcentral.
CGGUUUGGUCGCCCGAAAAGGCGUGAAAAGGGAAUCAGGUGCAAGUCCUGAACAGUCCCGCUGCUGUAAGUUCAGUAGAUUGCCAAUCAAGCAUAUAGCCACUGCAUAACGCCAUAGUUAUGUGGGAAGGCUGAACGGCAAUGAACAAGUCAGAAGACCUGCCAAAUCUGAA